Molecule: non-coding RNA, 87 nt
Organism: Tribolium castaneum (red flour beetle)
Lineage: Eukaryota; Metazoa; Arthropoda; Insecta; Coleoptera; Tenebrionidae
Gene: Mir12
Product: microRNA mir-12
Exons: 1
Source: RefSeq, marked provisional
UAAAAGUUCAGGGUUUGAGUAUUACAUCAGGUACUGGUUCGGUUUUGAAAAACCGGUCCCUGAGUAACACUUACAUUCUGGCUUUUA